This 497-nucleotide ribosomal RNA is filed under the name uncultured bacterium. RNAcentral describes it as "partial 16S ribosomal RNA". It matches the Rfam family "Bacterial small subunit ribosomal RNA", at positions 28 to 507 of the family's 1533-position model. The record is from RNAcentral.
GAUGAACGCUGGCGGCGUGCCUAAUACAUGCAAGUCGAGCGAACAGACGAGGAGCUUGCUCCUCUGACGUUAGCGGCGGACGUGUGAGUAACACGUGUAUAACCUACCUAUAAUACUGGGAUAACUUCGGGAAACCGGAUCUAAUACCGGAUAAUAUAUUGAACCGCAUGGUUCAAUAGUGAAAUACGGUUUUGCUGUCACUUAUCGAUGGAUCCGCGCCGCAUUAGCUAGUUGGUAAGGUAACGGCUUACCAAGGCAACGAUGCGUAGCCGACCUGAGAGGGGGAUAGGCCACCCUGGAACUGAGACGCGGUCCAGGCUACUAAGGGAGGCACCAGUCGGGAAUCGUACGCAAUGGGGGAAAACAUGGCGGAGGAACGCGGAGUGAGUGGCGGAGGUCCUCGGAUCGGAAAAACCUGUUAUUAGGGAAGAACAAAUGUGUAAGUAACUAUGCACGUCUUGACGGUAACUAAUAAGAAAGCAACGGCUAACUACGUG